GAUGAACGCUGGCGGCGUGCUUAACACAUGCAAGUCGAACGAAGCACCUCUCCCGAAGAUUGACACAGCUUGCUGUAGAUUGAUUCAUUUGAGGUGACUGAGUGUCGGACGGGUGAGUAACGCGUGGGUAACCUGCCUCAUAGAGGGGGACAACAGUUGGAAACGACUGCUAUUACCGCAUAGUAAGAAGAAUUCGCAUGUUUUCUUCUUGCAAGAUUCAUCGCUAUGAGAUGGACUCGCGUCUGAUUAGCGAGUUGGUAAGGUAACCGCGUACCAAGGCGACGAUAAGUAUCCUGAAUGCGAGCAGGAACCGCGACAUUGGGAGUGAGGCACGGCCCAAACUCCUACGGGAGGCAGCAGUAGGGAAUAUAGCACAAUGGAGGAAACCCUGGUGCGGCAACGCCGCGAGAGUUAAGAAGUAUUUAGGUAUGUAAAGCUCUAUCAGAAGGGAAGAUGAUGACGGUACCUGACUAAUAAGCCCCGGCUAACUACGUG
Molecule: ribosomal RNA, 495 nt
Filed under: uncultured bacterium
Lineage: Bacteria
Description: partial 16S ribosomal RNA
Rfam family: Bacterial small subunit ribosomal RNA
Source: RNAcentral